Molecule: long non-coding RNA, 2522 nt
Organism: Prionailurus viverrinus (fishing cat)
Lineage: Eukaryota; Metazoa; Chordata; Mammalia; Carnivora; Felidae
Exons: 3
Source: RefSeq, a predicted model, not a curated record
GCGGGGCCAGCCCCGACCGGACCUUUGUGUCCGCGCGCCGGAUGGCGGGAGCGCGGGUCGCCGGGCUCGGGGAGGGGACCGCGGCCCCUCGUCCCGCGGGGGAGCCGGGAGGAUGCCCGCCCGUGCUGCACCUACGGUCGGAACAUUCCCCUGAAAAGUGGAGGUCCCGUUCAGGUCCCUCCCCUAACAACCCGCGGCAGGUCCGGGCCCAGCCGACCUCUGCUCCAGAAUCCGCAAGGCCCGCGGCGCCUCCGUUUCAGCGGAGAAAAAGAGCUCCAGGAACGAUGAGAACGAAUAAAAAGAGAGGAGAGGAAACUGAGGCAUGGAGAUAGGUGAGCACACCCCGUCCCCUGCCUGGCCACUGCAAGUCUCUGCAAGAGAAGCCCCUAAAAGCCAGCCCAGCCCUGGACCGUGGCUCAGACACCACUGAGGACACAGCAAGAAUACAGCUGUCCCCAAGCCAGGAAGAGGGUCCUCCACCAGGAACCAAAUCUCGGGCAUUCUGAACUUGGACUUCCCAGGUUCCAAAAACGUGAGAAGUCACUUUCUGUUGCUUAUGCCACCCAGUCUGGUGUUUUGUUAUGGCAUCAGGAACAGCCUUUUCCUCCUCAACUAACCACAGAAUUUUUUUAAUUUUUAUUUUUUUAAGUGUAUUUAUUUUGAGAGAGAAACAACACCAUUGGGGGAGGGGCAGAGAGAGAGAGAGAGAGAGAGAGAGAGAGAGAGAGAAUCCUAAGCAGGCUCAGCACUGUCGGUGCAGAGCCUGAUCCGGGGCUCGAACUCAAGAACGGGAGGUCAUGACCUGAACCAAAAGCAAGCGUUGGGCGCUUAACCAACUGAGUCCCCCGGGCACCCCAGCCUCUGAGAAUCCCACACCUGAGUUUGGUGCAGUUCCCGUCUGCAGUCAUUCACUGGGUAUCAUGGGUGCCAGGCCUCCCUUUGUGGUGCUGAGCAUCCAGAGUAAAAAGUGCCCGCCCAGUUCCCGCCCUGGAGGAGGUGCCUCCUCCAGAGGGAUGGCAGGCAGGUUGAUAAGGUAGGGUGUCAGGUGGUGGGCUGGAUAAGCAUCCCUGGCUCAGUGAGUGCCCUGCCCUUGGCCCUAUCAGAGAAGACGGGUCCGUGGAGAAAUUCUUUCUCCCAACUUGCCACGGCUUGAGCCUCCUGCAACCAGAGACAUCAGCCCACUAUCAUGGCCCCAUCUCAUGGCACCGGCCUAGUGGCCAGACUUGAGCCAGCAGCAGAUGAGAAGAUCUGGCCUAACUUUUCCACCCAAUAAAGACCAAUCAUCCGUCCAGCCAUGUGACAAAUAGUUAUUGCACAUGAGCUCUGUUCUAAGCCCUAGACUAAACAAAACUCAUGUUGGUCCUGUCCUGCCACGCCCUGUGCCCCAGAGGGUUACAGUCUAAUUAGGGGAAGCAGAUGUUAAACCAAUAAUCACAACGGUAUAAAGUCCCACUGUAUCCAUAGCAGGGACAGCCAUCAUGCUGGAGAAGCCAGGAGAGUCUUCUCUGGAAAGUGCUGGUUGACCCGGGGUCUUCUGGAAGACCAGGAAUUGAAUAGACAAAGGAAAGGACAUUCCUGAGAAAGGUUAGCACACGUGCAAAGGCCCUGAGACAGGAGUGUGGUGGGGCUAGGACACGAGAAGCGACGUGGACAGAAGUGACAUGGCCAGAGCCAGAGGGGGCUAAGUGGAUGGGUCUCAAUUACAGAGCUUCACUUUAAGAGUGACAGCAGCCUGGUAAGGUCUAAAAGCAGGGAUGAGAGGGAGACUCCUCCCCCCAAAGUAUAACUGUCCACCCAUCUGCCCCCCAUUCCUUCCCACCAUGACUUGGACCUCUACUGUCUCACCAGAAGCAGUGGCCUCCUCCCCUGCCUUAUGCCUCCCCUAAUAUCCGUGACCUCGCUUGUUUUCUGUGCAGCAGCCAGAGUGAGCUUUCAAAAGUAUAAAUCUGACUGUUGCUAAAAAAAAAAAAAAUUAUUUCUGACCCUUGCUGAAAUGGUAAGACGGACUUUGUUCAGCACUGUCGCGAUAGGGACAGGGGCCCCUGUGUUGGGGUUUGCAUUCAGGGAGAGAGAUGGGGCUCACGUCCACAUACAGGGAGGAGAAGAUGUGUACCCACAGAGCAGGGUCCGGGAGUGUGAGACUACUAGGAGGAAAUAGCAGGGGGAAGGGUGGGGGGGCUCUGGCUAAGCUGGCCUGGCAGGAUUCUUGCGGAAGACAUGGGCGGUCACACAUCCCCUGGGAGGAGGCAGGGGAUGAGGAAUUUGGUCAGACCUAGAGGGCAGGGAAUUCUGGCUAAACCAACUUGUCCGGAUUCUUGCCAAAACUGGACUCUUACAGGGACAGGGUGGGAAGCUCCAGCUUGUGCCCAGGCGAGCCGAAGGCUCAGAGGAGCCCAACUGAAGUCUGGUCAGGGAGAGAGUCUCUGUCACCAGGUCGUCCUGCCCCUGCUCAAAACCCGUCAGUAACUCCCUGUUGCUCUUUUUUUUUUUUUUAAUUUUUUUUUUCAACGUUUAUUUACUUU